AGCAGUAGCCACGGGAAUACGAAGGGGGCUAGCGUUGCUCGGAAUUACUGGGCGUAAAGGGAGCGUAGGCGGAUCGUUUAGUCAGGGGUGAAAUCCCGGGGCUCAACCUCGGAACUGCCUUUGAUACUGGCGAUCUUGAGUAUGGGAGAGGUGUGUGGAACUCCGAGUGUAGAGGUGAAAUUCGUAGAUAUUCGGAAGAACACCAGUGGCGAAGGCGACACACUGGCCCAUUACUGACGCUGAGGCUCGAAAGCGUGGGGAGCAAACAGGAUUAGAUACCCCAGUAGUCCCUGUCUCUUAUAC
Molecule: ribosomal RNA, 303 nt
Filed under: uncultured bacterium
Lineage: Bacteria
Description: partial 16S ribosomal RNA
Rfam family: Bacterial small subunit ribosomal RNA
Source: RNAcentral